AGUGGGACUAUGUAGAAUAGAUAUUAAUUAAUUUUUAAAAGAUAUUAGUAAAAUAUAUUAAUAGUUCAUAUAAUAGAAAAUUCAAGAGGACGGAUGAGUGAUUUAGUUCUUAAAAGUGGUUAAUUACAGAAUUACGGUUAGAAUCUGGAAAAUCAAGAAAAAGUAUAUAGGAGUUGUAGAAGUUAAUUAAGGUGCCAUUGCUGUGAUAGUUGUGAGCCGGGGUAAGCUUGGUGCUACCUCUUUUCUUUUGUUUGUUAUUUUCUUUGAAUAAGAGGAUUGAGAGUUUCUGAAUAUUGUGAAGUAAAUUAUGGAAUGGAAAUGUGAUUGGAAUUAUUCGAGAAGAAGAAAGAUUGAAUGUUGAAAUUUGAUUGUAGUUUAGCAGAGAAAAUGAGUCCAUGUUUGUGUGAAUCAUCGUAAUGUGAAUGGCAGUUUUGUGUGAAGAAUUUCAGUGAUUGGAAUGAGGAUUAUUGUGUGCUGAAAGUUGUGAGGGCGCAGUAUUAUAGUUGGAGAUUAUGAGGGUGAAUAUAUUAGUAGAAAUAGUAGUUAUUG
This 549-nucleotide long non-coding RNA is filed under the name Physcomitrium patens. RNAcentral's name for it is "long non-coding RNA (PPAT_LNC000580)". The record is from RNAcentral. Lineage: Eukaryota; Viridiplantae; Streptophyta; Bryopsida; Funariales; Funariaceae.